Mauremys reevesii (Reeves's turtle) is the source of this 652-nucleotide long non-coding RNA. RefSeq lists it as uncharacterized. The record is from RefSeq and is a predicted model, not a curated record. NCBI's taxonomy places the organism in Eukaryota, Metazoa, Chordata, Testudines, Geoemydidae. The transcript has 3 exons.
GUAAAGCCACCGCGUUACUGUGCUUCAAAUCCCUUUGCCACCGUGCACAGGAAGUGGGUCUCUGGUACUGGAUGUGCAGGUGGUAAAGUUGUGGUUGGCUGCAACUCACUAGCUAACACUUGUAUAUCCUGUUAAGUUCUUUGAGGCGGGGACGGUCGUUUACUCUGUUUGUACAGCACCUAGCACAAUGAGGCUCUGACUUGCUUGUGACUUCCAGGGGUUACUGCAAUCUGCUGCUGCUCCCUGGUGUGUGGAUGCUACCUGGUACGGGGAUUCUUGAUUGUGCUUACAAAGGAGGUGUGGGGAGCCAGAAUAGCUACAUGGAGAAAAAGACCCUCCAUGGGAGUAGGAUGUGUCCUUUUCCAUGGAUCUUAAGAUCAGGAGGCUACACUCCCUGCAUCCUUUGCAGAUGCUAAUGCCACCCCUGAAGCCAUGAUAAGGUAACUCUUGCAGAAUUUCCUGGUCCGCUCUUCAACCUCCUGCAGGAACAUCGAGAGAGAGUAAGAUUUGGCUCUCAGAAGGCAGAUAAAUAACUAAAAUAAAUCCUAUUUAUUCUUUAAAAUGAGAAGAGUGAUAACUCUCCACAGCUCCUCCCCUUGUUGAAUCAGGUUAGUUCAAGUACCCAUUUGUCUCUGCUGCAAAAGGAAGAAAA